This 1214-nucleotide long non-coding RNA is filed under the name Strigops habroptila (Kakapo). RNAcentral's name for it is "lncRNA (ENSSHBG00005013118.1)". Lineage: Eukaryota; Metazoa; Chordata; Aves; Psittaciformes; Psittacidae. The record is from RNAcentral.
UUCGUAAAAUAGAGCUUUUAUUUGUUCAUACAAAUAGUAUGAAUUAUCAGAAUUUCAUUUCCCUAGAAACAUCUUUCUCUGUGUAAAAUUAAUUUGUGUUGUACAUACCACAAAAUACUCGAUUUACAUUUUUUUUUUCAGCUUUUUUUAGAUGGUUUUUUUUUUGUUUUUUCUUUCCAUUUUGUUCUUUUUCUUACAAAUUGGCUACUCUAUAGUUCCAUGUUACAGACAACACAUCACUAAUACCUGUACUGCACGUCUGAAUACAGGACUGAAUGAAACUCAGCCAUAAAUUAAUGUUACAAUGUGGAAAACCAAAAAUAAACAGAACUUCUAAUCACACCUCCAAGCUUAACUUAAAGUAAAAAGGUAUUUUUUACAAUAGCACUGAUUCCAGUAUUAGCAACCAGAUGUACACCACGGGGACUUCACCUUCAUUGUCUUGUUAGGUAAGGCUUUUACAUUACAAGUCUAGUGCAGACUUCAUUACGAAGGAUAUUGAGCAAGGGCUAACAACUUGCUUAAGGUUAGAAAAGUUAUUAUGUACUCCCUGUAUUCCUACUCGCCAACAAGAUUGCUUCACGGGAGUGUUUUGCAGCAGGGCUUGAUUGUAUAAAUGAAGCCCACAGGCUGCUGUACAGCUGAGGAAGGCAUGGGGAUAUUAAGAAGUUGUUUCCAAGAAAGCAAGGAGGAAGACGGAGGGGAUGCAAGAUGCUUCAGCAUCCAGAGGCAGGCACGCACAUGCGCUCCGUUGGGAGCCCCAUGGGAAGGAAGCCACGCCAGCACAAGAGAUCCUGGAGGCUCUCACCAUGCAGCCAGUGAAACCACUUGAGGAAGUGACGGAGCUGUGGCUGGGAGCUUACCCGAAGGCCAAGAGAAGAGGAAGAGCUUCUUUCCACACAUUGCAUAUGCCAGCUCAUAGGAAGACUGAGGUUAUGAGAAGUAAAAAUCACUGUUUUCCACCUGGAAGUGUUUUCUUCUCCCUGUGCAGCCCCUUCCCCUCCAUCACCCAACAGGAGCAGGGUUUGUGAUAACGCAGACAUGCUUCUGUGCUGGCAGCAGGCAACAGAGCUGGGGACCUGGCUGGAACUAAAACCCAAGCCCCCAAACAUGCAUAGAUAGAUCCAACCACCACUUGAGGUUUGCAGCUGCGUUACGCAGGAUGGGAUUGUGUGGGAGGGCUGUCAACCUGCAGCCCCGCAGAUCCCACACUC